Molecule: long non-coding RNA, 498 nt
Organism: Nilaparvata lugens (brown planthopper)
Lineage: Eukaryota; Metazoa; Arthropoda; Insecta; Hemiptera; Delphacidae
Exons: 3
Source: RefSeq, a predicted model, not a curated record
GGUUGGUGUAUCAAAAAUACUAACAUCAAAAGCUAAUCUCCUUCAAGACAUACUGGCAACAGGACAGCCCGAGUUCAAAGCAGAGAAAAUUUGAGAGCCAAUACUAUGGAAGUCUCCAAACAAUAGAGAAAACCUCUUAUGAUAAUAUCAUUCGAGUUCAUAGAGACAUUGCAGUCAACCAACCAAGGGAAAACAAGAUUACUCGCGAUAUCAAAAAGGCGAUUCGUCGUUUAAUCAACGGAGAAAUAAGAAUUACACACUUUCUGAGCGCAGUGGCUCAUGGUGUCGAAAACAUUGUCAAUAGGCCACUGCCUCAGAAUGAGUGGUUCCUUCUUGAUAUUGCUGGAGAGGAUGAAGUGAUGUGAGAAGGUUGUCCGUAUCUCCAGAAGAGGUUGUAAAUAUUAGGUGGAUAGGAAAUAUUAUUAGGAUAGAUCUGUAAAUAUUAUAAUGUAUUAAUAUAUAAAUAAAUAAAUUGCAACUUGAAAAUUAUGUAGAAUA